UGGAUUCCCUUUCCGAARGGCGACUGAAACGGGAGGAGCCCAGCGCAUAACCUCGCGGUCCCAGCCGCGAGGGGUGUUGCGUUUCGGUGGAUCCGUCCCGCCCGAGCCGUUCGGCGCCUAAGUCACUGCUUGAAAGCAGCCCCCGGGAGGGUGAUAGGCCCGUGUGGCGGCGCCCGCCAGAGGGUCAGGGCGGUUCGGGCGGAGGGAUCUCCACCGCAGAGUCGGGUUGCUUAGUACUGCAGCCCUAAGCAGGUGGUAAACUCCAUCUAAGGCUAAAUACAAACCACGAGACCGAUAGAGAACAAGUACCGUGAGGGAAAGUUGAAAAGGACUUUGAAGAGAGAGUUCAAGAGGACGUGAAACCGUUAGAAGCCAAACGGGUGGAACCGCGAAGGUCGAACGAGGGGAUUCAGCCCGUCGGCCGGCAGCGGCGGCGGACGGCUCGCUCGACACGGGCGUGAGGACCGGGCGCGAGGCGUCCCGGCUCCGUCCCCGCCUCCCCCUUGCCGGCGGGCUUAUUUCUCCCUCCAGUAGGUCGCCGCGACCCGUGGCGGGGACCCCGAGGCCGUCCCGGAUCGGAAGGCUCCCUCGCGGAGCCGACGCCGGGCGCGGUUCUGGCGGCCCCUGCGACGGUCACUGCGGGGAGGUCGUUGCUCGCAGCAACCUCCCUCGCGGCGUGCAAGGGAUCGGUGACCCACCCGACCCGUCUUGAANNNNNNNNNNNNNNNNNNNNNNNNNGCGCGAGUCUAAGGGCGAACUAAACCCGGAGGCGAAAUGAAAGUGAGCAACACUGGUUGCAGGCCGAUCCCCGGCCGUCCAGGUCGACCGGUCUCGGCGGUCCCGCGCUCCAAGUGCGGGACCGAAUCCCGGGCCGGGGCCUGCGGCGGCCCUAGCAGAGGGCGCAGGCCGAGGACUUGCCGCUCGGCGGCCCGGGGCGACGGGGGCCUCGCGCCCUCGUUCCCCGGCGUCCGCCGGCAAGUACCUGAGAGCGCACCCGUUGGGACCCGAAAGAUGGUGAACUAUGCCUGGCCAGGACGAAGCCAGGGGAAACCCUGGUGGAGGUCCGAAGCAGUUCUGACGUGCAAAUCGAUUGGCAGAGCUGGGUAUAGGGGCGAAAGACUAAUCGAACCAUCUAGUAGCUGGUUCCCUCCGAAGUUUCCCUCAGGAUAGCUGGCAUUCGGAGUUUAAAAAUGGGAUGAGUUUCAUCCGGUAAAGCCAAUGAUUAGAGGCCUUGGGGGUGCAAUGCCCUCAACCUAUUCUCAAACUUUAAAUGGGUGAGAUGUGGAGCUUGCUUGAUCACACAAUGUUCGAAGCUCUAUGAUUGAAUCAGAAUGUCUAGUGGGCCACUUUUGGUAAGCAGAACUGGCGAUGUGGGAUGAACCAAACGCGCGAGUUAAGGGGCCUAAAGGAAUGCUAAUGUUGACACUACGAAAAGGUGUUGGUUGCUAUAGACAGCAGGGCGGUGGCCAUGGAAGUCGGAAUCCGCUAAGGAGUGUGUAACAACUCACCUGCCGAAGCAACUAGCCCUUAAAAUGGUAUGGCGCUCAAGCAUUCUCCCGAUACUCGGCCGCCGGGGCACUACGGGCCCUGAGAAGGGUCUCGAAGCCCCGGCGAGUAGGAGGGUCGCAGCGGUGAGCGCAGAAGGGACCCGGCGCAGGCCGGCCUGGAGCCGCCGCUGGUGCAGAUCUUGGUGGUAGUAGCAAAUAAUCAAGAGAGAACCUCGUUGACUGAUGUGGGGAAGGGUUCCAUGUCAACAUCAGUUGGACAUGGGUGAGUCAGACCUAAGCCCAAGGAUAAACUUCCUGCGUUCCAGGACUCCCCAAGCGACUGAAGGAAGGUCGUCGUUGUCUGCUGCUGCUGUGGCGGCUCGUGCGGUGCUGCCGGCGAUGCCAAGACGGCAGCAGCAGCAACAACAACAAGCAUAUGAGCAAAUGCUGGAGGGGACGCAGUGGCGAAAG
RNAcentral lists this ribosomal RNA (1958 nucleotides) under Systellaspis debilis. Its description in RNAcentral is "eukaryotic LSU rRNA". It matches the Rfam family "Eukaryotic large subunit ribosomal RNA", at positions 71 to 1600 of the family's 3401-position model. The record is from RNAcentral. Lineage: Eukaryota; Metazoa; Arthropoda; Malacostraca; Decapoda; Oplophoridae.